GUGCUCGCUGCAGCCGCACAUAUACUAAAAUUGUAUAGUAUUAUGAUUAGCAUGGCCCCUGAGCAAGGAUGACAUGCAGACUUGUGAAGCAUUCCUUAUUUUG
Molecule: small nuclear RNA, 103 nt
Filed under: Catagonus wagneri (Chacoan peccary)
Lineage: Eukaryota; Metazoa; Chordata; Mammalia; Artiodactyla; Tayassuidae
Source: RNAcentral